This 158-nucleotide ribosomal RNA is filed under the name Musa balbisiana (Balbis banana). RNAcentral's name for it is "5.8S ribosomal RNA". It matches the Rfam family "5.8S ribosomal RNA". Rfam says of the family: 5.8S ribosomal RNA (5.8S rRNA) is a component of the large subunit of the eukaryotic ribosome. It is transcribed by RNA polymerase I as part of the 45S precursor that also contains 18S and 28S rRNA. Lineage: Eukaryota; Viridiplantae; Streptophyta; Magnoliopsida; Zingiberales; Musaceae. The record is from RNAcentral.
UGGAUGACUCUCGGCAACGGAUAUCUCGGCUCUCGCAUCGAUGAAGAACGUAGCGAAAUGCGAUACCUGGUGUGAAUUGCAGAAUCCCGUGAACCAUCGAGUCUUUGAACGCAAGUUGCGCCCGAGGCCAUCCGGCUAAGGGCACGCCUGCCUGGGCG